This 407-nucleotide ribosomal RNA is filed under the name uncultured bacterium. RNAcentral describes it as "partial 16S ribosomal RNA". It matches the Rfam family "Bacterial small subunit ribosomal RNA", at positions 28 to 526 of the family's 1533-position model. The record is from RNAcentral.
GACGAACGCUGGCGGCGUGCCUAAUACAUGCAAGUAGGACGCAGUUGCGAACGGGUGAGUAAAGCGUAGGUAACUGCCUAUUAGAGGGGGAUAACUAUUGGAAACGAUAGCUAAUACCGCAUACUAGUAGAUGGACCUGCGUUGUAUUAGCUAGUAGGUAGGGUAAUGGCCUACCUAGGCGACGAUACAUAGCGGACCUGGGAGGGUGAGCGGCCAAACGGGGACUGAGAGACGGCCCAGACUCCUACGGGAGGCAGCAGUAGGGAAUCUUCGGCAAUGGGGGGAACGCUGACCGAGCAACGCCGCGUGAGUGAAGAAGGUUUUCGGAUCGUAAAGCUCUGUUGUUAAGGAAGCGGUACUUAACCAGAAAGGGACGGCUAACUACGUGCCAGCCGCCGCGGUAAUUC